RNAcentral lists this ribosomal RNA (427 nucleotides) under uncultured bacterium. Its description in RNAcentral is "bacterial SSU rRNA". It matches the Rfam family "Bacterial small subunit ribosomal RNA", at positions 355 to 774 of the family's 1533-position model. The record is from RNAcentral.
UGGGGAAUUUUGGACAAUGGGCGAAAGCCUGAUCCAGCAAUGCCGCGUGCAGGAUGAAGGCCUUCGGGUUGUAAACUGCUUUUGUACGGAACGAAAAAGCUUCUCCUAAUACGAGAGGCCCAUGACGGUACCGUAAGAAUAAGCACCGGCUAACUACGUGCCAGCAGCCGCGGUAAUACGUAGGGUGCGAGCGUUAAUCGGAAUUACUGGGCGUAAAGCGUGCGCAGGCGGUUAUGUAAGACAGAUGUGAAAUCCCCGGGCUCGACCUGGGAACUGCAGUUGUGAAUGGAUGGCUAGAGUACGGUAGAGGGGGAUGGAAUUCCGCGUGUAGCAGUGAAAUGCGUAGAUAUGCGGAGGAACAGCGAUGGCGAAGGCAAUCCCCUGGACAUGUACUGACGCUCAUGCACGAAAGCGUGGGGAGCAAACA